UCAGACGAUGCGUCAUGCAUAUCAAUAAGCGGAGGAAAAGAAACUAACAAGGAUUCCCUUAGUAACGGCGAGUGAAGCGGGAAGAGCUCAAAUUUGAAAUCUUCAAGGUUUUACCUUGACGAAUUGUAGUUUAAAGAAGUGUUUUCUGUUGGAGUUUUGGUAAAAGUUCUUUGGAAUAGGACAUCAUAGAGGGUGAGAAUCCCGUAUUUGACCAUUAUUUUCAGCUGUGUGAUACACUUUCAAAGAGUCGGAUUGUUUGGGAAUGCAGUCCAAAAUGGGUGGUAAAUUUCAUCUAAAGCUAAAUAUUGGCGAGAGACCGAUAGCGAACAAGUACCGUGAGGGAAAGAUGAAAAGAACUUUGAAAAGAGAGUUAAACAGUACGUGAAAUUGUCAAAAGGGAAGCGUUUGACACCAGUGUUGUUUUUCUCGAAAAUCAAUUAAAAAUGGAUUCAUGCCAAGUUGUAUUGACCUUAUCAGCUAUGCAAUUUGGUUUUGGGUUCUUUUUUGAUGCACUUUUCGGUUAACAAGUCAACAUCAAUUUCCUUUGCUGUAAAAGGGCAGAAGGAAGGUGGCUUCAAUUUCGGUUGAAGUGUUUAUAGCCUUUUGUCUCUGCAGUCGGGGAGAUUGAGGUCUGCAGCGUAGAUCCUUCGGGGUUAGAUACAUUCGUGCUAAGUUAUAGCCUUUUUAUAGACAACUUGUUGACUAUGAUCGGUCUUGUAAUUUACUCGCGAGUGCUAUUUUACCUACGCUUAGGAUGUUGAUAUGCAUGACUGAUAU
Molecule: ribosomal RNA, 777 nt
Filed under: uncultured Neocallimastigales
Lineage: Eukaryota; Fungi; Neocallimastigomycota; Neocallimastigomycetes; Neocallimastigales
Description: partial large subunit ribosomal RNA
Rfam family: Eukaryotic large subunit ribosomal RNA
Source: RNAcentral